UUUAAUGAAAAUAAAAUGACAAUAAACCUCCAUUUAACCUUGAUUUUGAUCUGAUCAUUAAAAGUGGUGGUUACUACCACGAGAGCUUGUCCAACUCGUGUAGACCUUCUAAGAUGUACCUGAUUCUCAUCAAUAUUUGAUGGCUAAGUAGAAGGUCGCAUGUCAUUUUUAUGAUCCAUGAAAUCAGUGACCUUGUCAUUAGUUAAUUCCACCGCCGCACUGCCAUAACUUAAUAUGAUUCCUUCAUGAUUUCAGUUUGGUUGUGUAGUAGUUGACAUUUAGCUAUGGAUGAAGGGGAAGCAUGAUUGUUGGUCUUGGGAUGAAUUGGGUGUAAAUGUUUGUGACUAAAAAAAAGGGAUUUGUGGUUGGGAUGAAUUAGGUGUAAAUAUUUGUGAUUGAAAAAAAGGGAUUUGUGGUUGGG
RNAcentral lists this long non-coding RNA (421 nucleotides) under Lathyrus oleraceus (garden pea). RNAcentral describes it as "Pisum sativum (pea) long non-coding RNA (PSAT_LNC001221)". The record is from RNAcentral. Lineage: Eukaryota; Viridiplantae; Streptophyta; Magnoliopsida; Fabales; Fabaceae.